AGCGAACGCUGGCGGCAGGCUUAACACAUGCAAGUCGAACGGGCGUGAUCGGAUGUCCUCGCUUGACGGGUGGGCAACCGGUGGAGACAUACGCGUCGAUUCGGCACCACUCUGGGGGACAGGAGCUAAUACCGACUACGACCACCUGGGAAAAGGAUAACUGCCGAGGGAACGGCCCGCGUCUGAUUAGCUAGUUGGUGGGGUAACGGCCUACCAAGGCGACGAUCGGUAGCUGGACUGAGAGGAUGAUCAGCCACACUGGGACUGAGACACGGCCCAGACUCCUACGGGAGGCAGCAGUGGGGAAUAUUGGACAAUGGGCGCAAGCCUGAUCCAGCCAUGCCGCGUGAGUGAUGAAGGCCUUAGGGUUGUAAAGCUCUGUUGUCCGGGACGAUAAUGACGGUACCGGAAGAAUAAGCCCCGGCUAACUUCGUG
Molecule: ribosomal RNA, 435 nt
Filed under: uncultured bacterium
Lineage: Bacteria
Description: partial 16S ribosomal RNA
Rfam family: Bacterial small subunit ribosomal RNA
Source: RNAcentral